CUUAACCAAGGUAGUAUGCAUUGCCAAAAAAAGGGUACUGCAGCUAAGCUUUUGGUUGUAUAUAAUACAACUGGCUUUAUAUUUUUAUUGAAAAAGAGGCCGCAGGACACUUCGGAUCAUAUAAUUUCACUAUAGUAUCUGGAAUCUUGUUUGAAAUCUUCAUACAACCUGAUUAUAAAGAGCUUAUAAAAUCAAAAAGGUUGCUCCCAUUUGAUCCGGACAAAUUGGUGCUCCAAAAGAAAAAUCAACGGCAUUAUUUUCUGCAAUAAAUUUCUUGUUCUCUCCCACUGUUGUGAUUUUCUAAAUACUUAAAAAUUUUAGCAUUAUUUAAAGAAAAAUACAUAUCAAAAGUUGAAUAUUAAUAAUCAUUAUCAUAAGAUCUUAAAUUCAAUUUUACCCAGUGCCUUUUUAUUGAAAGUUGAAAUGUAACGAUAAUUCUGUUUUUUAAAUCUUCGACAGAUUUCCAUUCCUCCAAUUCCCACAAUUUUUUUAAUGCUUAUUUUUCAAACUUUUUAGUCUAUUGAAAGUCAAAUCUAAAAUUUUAGAAAUACAAAGGAAAUAUAUAAUAAGUAAUUUACCCUACUUGGUGUAAUUUGUAUCUGUUAGCAUUCAAGUACAGAAGUUUGUCAAAUUAAGUCCCCAAGUACAUAAGAGACACAAAAAAAUUAAUAAGAAUUAUUAGUUCAUAAAGUAAGCAAAUGUAACCUCUUGAUUAAAAUAAAUAUUGUAUUCAGCAUUUGGUAUCUAAAAAUAAUGACUCUGGUGUCUUCUUUGUGUAUCUAAAAUCCCUUAAUAGUUGUAAAUAAAAAUUUAAGUUAUUUAUUUUAUGAUAGGGAUUCAUAAGAUAAAUUAAUAAUCAUAAUUUUGGUGGUAUCAUUAAAAACUUAAUUUACAUGCAUUAAUUUAUCAUAUUUGGUACAAUUCUGUUAUAACGACCCUACAAAAUUACCUAAUUGUUGAUGCCAAAAAUACUUAUGGUAACUCUAAUGUAAGAAGGAAAGCAUAAAAGUAAAUAACUAGGAUUAUUAUUUCAAUUUAGAUGAAAGGUUAAUUUCCUAUAAUUCAUCUUUUAUUGUUAUAAUUUAUAAAGAAAUGGCUAAACAUAAUUGGAAGAAAGCAUAAUAGUAAUUAACUAUGUAAGAUUAUUAAUUUGAUGAAAUGUUAAUUUCGGGUGAAGUGUAGAACCGCCCACUUAUUUGGCUCUUUUUACAAGAGUAAGGAGAAAUGGAUUUUUGUCAAUUUCCUUUGACUUUUUAAGUGAAAAUAGAUCAAAGUGUACAUGGACAAAUUCAAAAGAGUGCACAGGGUUUGUAGUGGUUUUUACAAUUGCUUAUAAGUCUUUAUAUUUGAAAAUAAAAUAUAAAGGCCCUUAUAAGUGUUUACUUUUUCUCUAAAGCACUUAUUUUUUUCCCUCCUUCCCCCCCCCCUCUUAACGAACACACAUUUUUUCCCCGUACCAAAGCCGAAACUAAACUUUUCUUCCUUAUCUAGAACAUCAGAUGGUGAAUCAUGCUUCCGUUAAUAGCUUUUCGACCCUUUCUCUGCAUAACCUUUGGUGGAUGCGAGUACAGACAGAUGGUGCACAUCGUUCUAUUGGUCAAAGAACACCGAAAGCGGUAGAAAAUUCUGGUAUAUUCCGUAUUCUUUUCCUCCCACCCAAGACUAUCAUGUUUUCUAUCAAGAUUUUAAUAAUUUGCAUUCCCGUUCCAUGU
This 1712-nucleotide long non-coding RNA is filed under the name Stegodyphus dumicola. Its description in RNAcentral is "uncharacterized LOC118192520". The record is from RNAcentral. Lineage: Eukaryota; Metazoa; Arthropoda; Arachnida; Araneae; Eresidae.